UGAGCCCAGCCAACGACCCGCACCUGCAUCUCGUCAGCCACUACUGCCAGCAAUCAACCUCAUCCCUGGUUCUCCACUCCAUCGCUGCUUGAUCGUCAUUGCUCCUUACCCGGUCCACUCACCUCCGUCCCCCGCUCCGUCAGCUGGGCUCGCCACCCUGCCCUCUCCCCUCGGACCUCUUCCACAGCGUCCUCCCGGCUCCUCCCCGUGCCUCCUUGCUUCCUCAGUCCCCAGUGCCCCCGGCUCCCUUGUCUCGGUCUCCUCAGGUGCCCAUGUUUCCCCCGGCAUCCGCCUCUCCCUCACCUCCACUCCCUCAACCCUGUUUCCCCUUCAAUAAAGCCUGUGUUUCCUGA
Long non-coding RNA from Micropterus dolomieu (smallmouth bass), 353 nucleotides. RefSeq lists it as uncharacterized. The transcript has 2 exons. The record is from RefSeq and is a predicted model, not a curated record. Lineage: Eukaryota; Metazoa; Chordata; Actinopteri; Centrarchiformes; Centrarchidae.